Long non-coding RNA from Rosa chinensis, 1523 nucleotides. RefSeq lists it as uncharacterized. The transcript has 4 exons. The record is from RefSeq and is a predicted model, not a curated record. NCBI's taxonomy places the organism in Eukaryota, Viridiplantae, Streptophyta, Magnoliopsida, Rosales, Rosaceae.
CCAGAAAAAGUUACAGUAGCCCCAUCUUUAGCUGCAGCAAAUGUGUUCAAUUACAUAUUUUAAAAGCUUUGACUUUGACAAACAUAUGUGUGAAGCCAUUUGUAACUAUCUGCAUGUUUUAGACAUUCCUCCACCGCCAAGUUUCGUGGCUACUUGAAAAGUGUUUUCUGCUUCUUGAAUUAAAUGUACUUGCCGCAUGCUUCUUGAUCUUUUAUUUUUGACUUGUCCUGGAAGAGACUUGUAGCCUGGCUGCCUCAAUUAUACAUAUUCUGAAGCUUCUGUUCUGCUGCCAAUAGGUGGAAUUAAGCUUCCAUUCUUUUGGUGUAGCCGUGACCAUGAAACCAAAAGCGAGGACUUCAAUUUUUCCUUUCUUGCUGAUCUUGAGAUUGCUUUUCCAUCUUGCACACAUCAUUUUGAAGGAAAACAUUGCAGGCGGUAUUCGAACCAUUGCUUUACAGAGGUAACCGGAAUCGGAUGACUCCCAUCUCUCUUCCAUUUUGUGGCUGCAGUCUAGUGAUUCGAGGGUGAGCCAACUGAACACGCCGCAAACUUUGUGAUCAAGGGCAGCGUAACAUCUUGGCUUUGGUGCUGCACAAAGAUUCCUCCAGAGCAGUUUCUUCACUUUGUGAGCCCAAGAACUUUGCAGACUCGUAGUUGGUGUGAACUGGCAGCCCCAAGCCUUCAUUUGACACUCGUUUUUGCCACCCAUAUGCAGGACGCACACGCGAUACAGGCAUCAAAAACAAGUGCAAUGUACCCUCUAUCUUGGACCUUGCUUCCGCCACCCAUACGCAGGAUGCUCCGCAGUAUAGGCAUCGAAAGAAGGCCGAAAACACAGGUGAGCCCCUUCCCUUGCUGAAAUCCCUUCUCCUCCUUCAUCUCUGUGAACGUGCUUCUUUUUUUUUGUCUCCUUGGACCUGCACUGUUUGUUAACACAAAGGCAAAUGGAGGUGUAUUUGGUUGUUUUGUUUUCUGAUUUUGGUGGGCAACAAUGAGGGAUUUGAGGCUUUGAGAGUUGUGAUGGUGUUGUUGGCAUAUUUGGCCGGAGUGGUUUGUUUGGGGAAUGGAGGGACUGUUUCUGGUGCUUAGAAGUAUAGGCAAGUCUGCACUCACGAAGACAUCAGCGAUAAUAGAGGAAAAAUAGCAACGAAUACCAUGAAGAAAGGACCAGCAUGAUACCUGAAUAUGAAGCUCUCCUGUUGUCAAUUUGUUGUCUCCAGCUUUGUGUUCUUUAUAUAGGAGGCAGCGAAGGCUCUAGAGGCUGGAUAAACGCUCGUUUGAAAUUUGAAAUUCCCGAGGCUCACGUGGAUAAGCUGCUGAACAGAGAUUUCCUCCUUAACUCCGAUAUUGAACUUAGACACCCCCUGCCACUUUUUUCUUAUCUCACUUUGAGAUAUUUGAAUCACAAUUUGAAUGCUUUCUUUUGUUUUCUGUUUUUGUAGCUUUUUCCUGUUGAAACUUGGUCAAUCAUUCAACUUGUUUGAAUUUGAGAAAGAGAUAAUUUGUAACUAAAACAUUUGUUU